Small nucleolar RNA from Homarus americanus (American lobster), 67 nucleotides. NCBI's taxonomy places the organism in Eukaryota, Metazoa, Arthropoda, Malacostraca, Decapoda, Nephropidae. The record is from RefSeq and is a predicted model, not a curated record.
ACAUAUAAUGAUGAUAUUUUACCGUCCCAGUCUGAAAGUGGUGACUGAUAGGUUUUUCUGAAAAAGC